GGGCCCGUGGCCUAGCAUGGAAAGGCGCCGGCCUGCGGAGCCGGAGAAGGCUCGCCCUCCGGAGAACCCGGGUUCAAGUCCCGGCGGGCCCGCCA
RNAcentral lists this transfer RNA (95 nucleotides) under Thermofilum sp. RNAcentral describes it as "tRNA-Arg". It matches the Rfam family "tRNA". From Rfam's summary of the family: Transfer RNA (tRNA) molecules are approximately 80 nucleotides in length. Their secondary structure includes four short double-helical elements and three loops (D, anti-codon, and T loops). Lineage: Archaea; Thermoproteati; Thermoproteota; Thermoprotei; Thermofilales; Thermofilaceae. The record is from RNAcentral.